This 1154-nucleotide long non-coding RNA is filed under the name Vigna radiata. RNAcentral describes it as "long non-coding RNA (VRAD_LNC012494)". The record is from RNAcentral. Lineage: Eukaryota; Viridiplantae; Streptophyta; Magnoliopsida; Fabales; Fabaceae.
UAAAGUUUAUCUAAAACCUAAACUAAUUUAAAAUAAAAUAAAAUAAAUAAAUAAAAAAUAAAUAAAUAAAAGACAUCUUAAAGCUAAUAAAUGAGGGGCUAUCACUAGAACAAGAAAGGACACGUUACUAAAUGGAUUGGAUUUAUGAAAAGUAAUAAUGCUCAUUGAAAACCAUGAAUCAUAACCUCACCUUCCAACCGGCAGCAACUUUGCUUACUGCUUCUCUCCAAGUCAAAUGCAAAUAAAGAAAGGGAAAUGCAUAGCUUGGCUUUUUCAAUGUCGUGGCAUCACUUGAAUCAUAUAUGCAAUUUGAAAAUGAAAACCGUGCAACAAUCAAUUUAAUUGAACCGUGCAACUAUUUGAAAUUAAAUCAACGUGCCACCUCAAAAGUUAAAGUAACAAAAGUAGCAUUUAAACGACACCAACUAAAUGCAAGGAAAAGGAAUUGAAUUAACAUGUUCUUUCAAGAAGAAUAAAAGCAGCGUGUUCUCAUUGUGAAGACCAAAUGAUUGCAGCAUAAAUGAGCUUCCGUGAUGAUGAUGAGCAUUGAAGGGCACAAUUAAUUACUCAGCACAAAUCAAAUAAAAGUGAGUAGGCAUUCAACGUUAAAUGUAAUACCCAUCAUGUAAUAUAAAAAUAGUUUUUAGUUAAAGCGUAAAGACAACCUAAAAGAGCAAAAGUUUGGACCCUUUUUCAUGGAUGAAACCUCUGUAUGAAUGUCCAGCGUAUGCUUCUCCCAACUCUCCAUUCUCAUUCAUCCAUAAUCCCAUAGAAUAAACAUGGUUCCCAUUUGCUUAAAAAAAAAAAAAAUUCUCUCCUCCAAAACGCUGCACCCACACUCUCGGGACCUCCAAAUUGCCGAGAAUACAAAUAACGUUCCAACAGCAGUCCUCCUUGAGAGAAUGACGGCUGGUAGCUUUUGUGAUCCCUAGGACCAUGUGUCCUCCAAUUGGGGUGGGGUCCACCUUAAAAAAAAAUAAAACCCUAGGGUGCCAAGUGUCCUACAAUUUUGGGCCCUUAUAUUUUUGCCAACAAUGGCCCAUUGUAUAAAAGUUUGUCUAACAAGUUUAAACAAUUAAAUUACAAGAUAACUAAAAUUUAAAAUGUCUAAUAUGAGUGUCUUGACUUUAUUUUGUCUCCUUUCCAAUGCCCCA